Molecule: ribosomal RNA, 1473 nt
Filed under: Streptococcus thermophilus
Lineage: Bacteria; Bacillati; Bacillota; Bacilli; Lactobacillales; Streptococcaceae
Also listed under: 1 other name
Description: bacterial SSU rRNA
Rfam family: Bacterial small subunit ribosomal RNA
Source: RNAcentral
GACGAACGCUGGCGGCGUGCCUAAUACAUGCAAGUAGAACGCUGAAGAGAGGAGCUUGCUCUUCUUGGAUGAGUUGCGAACGGGUGAGUAACGCGUAGGUAACCUGCCUUGUAGCGGGGGAUAACUAUUGGAAACGAUAGCUAAUACCGCAUAACAAUGGAUGACACAUGUCAUUUAUUUGAAAGGGGCAAUUGCUCCACUACAAGAUGGACCUGCGUUGUAUUAGCUAGUAGGUGAGGUAAUGGCUCACCUAGGCGACGAUACAUAGCCGACCUGAGAGGGUGAUCGGCCACACUGGGACUGAGACACGGCCCAGACUCCUACGGGAGGCAGCAGUAGGGAAUCUUCGGCAAUGGGGGCAACCCUGACCGAGCAACGCCGCGUGAGUGAAGAAGGUUUUCGGAUCGUAAAGCUCUGUUGUAAGUCAAGAACGGGUGUGAGAGUGGAAAGUUCACACUGUGACGGUAGCUUACCAGAAAGGGACGGCUAACUACGUGCCAGCAGCCGCGGUAAUACGUAGGUCCCGAGCGUUGUCCGGAUUUAUUGGGCGUAAAGCGAGCGCAGGCGGUUUGAUAAGUCUGAAGUUAAAGGCUGUGGCUCAACCAUAGUUCGCUUUGGAAACUGUCAAACUUGAGUGCAGAAGGGGAGAGUGGAAUUCCAUGUGUAGCGGUGAAAUGCGUAGAUAUAUGGAGGAACACCGGUGGCGAAAGCGGCUCUCUGGUCUGUAACUGACGCUGAGGCUCGAAAGCGUGGGGAGCGAACAGGAUUAGAUACCCUGGUAGUCCACGCCGUAAACGAUGAGUGCUAGGUGUUGGAUCCUUUCCGGGAUUCAGUGCCGCAGCUAACGCAUUAAGCACUCCGCCUGGGGAGUACGACCGCAAGGUUGAAACUCAAAGGAAUUGACGGGGGCCCGCACAAGCGGUGGAGCAUGUGGUUUAAUUCGAAGCAACGCGAAGAACCUUACCAGGUCUUGACAUCCCGAUGCUAUUUCUAGAGAUAGAAAGUUACUUCGGUACAUCGGUGACAGGUGGUGCAUGGUUGUCGUCAGCUCGUGUCGUGAGAUGUUGGGUUAAGUCCCGCAACGAGCGCAACCCCUAUUGUUAGUUGCCAUCAUUCAGUUGGGCACUCUAGCGAGACUGCCGGUAAUAAACCGGAGGAAGGUGGGGAUGACGUCAAAUCAUCAUGCCCCUUAUGACCUGGGCUACACACGUGCUACAAUGGUUGGUACAACGAGUUGCGAGUCGGUGACGGCGAGCUAAUCUCUUAAAGCCAAUCUCAGUUCGGAUUGUAGGCUGCAACUCGCCUACAUGAAGUCGGAAUCGCUAGUAAUCGCGGAUCAGCACGCCGCGGUGAAUACGUUCCCGGGCCUUGUACACACCGCCCGUCACACCACGAGAGUUUGUAACACCCGAAGUCGGUGAGGUAACCUUUUGGAGCCAGCCGCCUAAGGUGGGACAGAUGAUUGGGGUGAAG